Molecule: long non-coding RNA, 205 nt
Organism: Lynx canadensis (Canada lynx)
Lineage: Eukaryota; Metazoa; Chordata; Mammalia; Carnivora; Felidae
Exons: 3
Source: RefSeq, a predicted model, not a curated record
AAAGGUAGGGUUGAGAUUUUUCUUGCUUCUUGGGGUAGUCCUGUAUUGUUAUAAACUUCCCUGUUAGAACCACUUUUGUUGCAUCCCAGAGAUUUUGGACAAUUUUGUUUUCAUUUUCAUUUGUUUCCAUGUAAUUUUUUAUUUCUUCUUUGUUUUCCUGGCUGACAUAUUCAAUGUUUAAUAGUAUGUUAUUUAACGUCCAUGU